RNAcentral lists this long non-coding RNA (2246 nucleotides) under Solanum tuberosum (potato). RNAcentral describes it as "long non-coding RNA (STUB_LNC009291)". Lineage: Eukaryota; Viridiplantae; Streptophyta; Magnoliopsida; Solanales; Solanaceae. The record is from RNAcentral.
GAAGUCCAUUCGGUUGAGAGGACUAAAGUUCUCAAGUUUUUCUUUGUAUGUACAUAGCUCUCAAAGUUAAGAACGCCGUUGCAAAUCUUGUCCUGGCCGGUUUCACCAAAUUUCUUUCCUUGGUGAAUUUUCUCAUCAAGUUUAACAACAAUGGCCUUUGACUAAUGUAAGAAUGGAUUCUGAUGGCCUUCUUAAAAACUGUUAAGGUAAGAUUAUAGUAAUUGGUAGGCAAUAAGUAUUAAAUAUUGACUAUAAAGAAAGUUAGAGGAUAUGAGAGUGAUAUUACCGGAAGCAUAUGGCUUAACCUUGAAUAUGUCACCAAACAUCAAGUUGAUGCAAUGAGCGGCACAUGGAGUCCAAUAAAUGUGUGGGUAUGCACCCAUCAUCAUGCUUCCCGCUUUAACAUUCUCACUAGCAUUAUCAGUGACAAUUUGUACAACAUUUUUCGGUCCAAUUCUGUCAAUAGCAGUGUUUAGGAUGGCGAGAGGCGACAAAAGGCGACAAGGGCCUGCCUCGCCACGCGGCGAGGCGAGCGGCGAGGCGAUCGCCUUUUUGAAUCAAGGCGCCAAUUAAUACCAAAAAUUAAAAAUAUUUAAUUGCAUAUAUAAAUAUCCAAAAUCUCAAUAGCAAUAACAUAUAUUAGCAAAUAUUUCAAUUCAAAAACAAAAAGUAGAUACUAAAAGUCUAGAACUUUAAAGACCCAAUAAUUCAAAAGAUAAUACUAGAACUCUAAAAGUCUAUUAUUCUUCAAAACUAUCCAACUCUUGAAGAUCAACAUCCUCUACAUCAUUAUAUUGCUCCUCAUCUUCUUCCUCCUCGUAGUCUUCAUCAAUUAGUGUCCGAGUCCUACUUGAAGUUGAACUUAUAGAUGAAGUUUCUACUCCUUUGCCCUUGUCAAGUGCUCCUGAUCUUGAAGAAAGUCCCCUAAGAUGAUAUAUAUUCUCAUCAGCUCCAAUUGCCGUAGCAACACUACCCCAAGUAAGAUAAUCAUCCUCAUAUACUAGUUCAUCUUCUUGAUCUUCGGGGCAUCCAACUAACCAUUCAUUUGAAUCAUCAAUGUUAUCCAAGCGAAUUGGAUCAAUGAGAUCACGAGCAUCAUAACGAUGUUUCAAUGUUCUAUUGUACUUAAUGUACACUAGAUCAUUGAGACGCGAUAGUGCAAAGCCUAUUCCUCUUUUUGAAAUGAAUCUACACAUAAGUUACAGAUAUUAACUAAUAGAUAUUGAUAAUAAUAUAAUAUGGAAAUUAGGAUAUAAUUUUUUUACUUACGUGUUCAAACACACUCCAAUUUCGCUCACAUCCGGAUGAGCUACAAGUUAGGCUUAAUACUUUCAUGGCAAACUUUUGCAAGUUUGGUGUUUCACUAUCAAUUAGUGACCACCAUUCAACUAUAAUAAAAUAAAUUUAAAGGUUAAUGAGUAUAAAUAAGUCAAAUAAUUUGAGAGCUAAAUCAACUCACUUACCCGGUGACCUUGUGUCUCUAGCUCUUUUAGCCGGACCACAACCAAAUAGUCCACGCGCCAUUUUGUUUGGUCUGACCACCUUGUAUAAAUAAUUCCAAACACUUUCUCAUAUUGUUUCUUAAUUCCACGAAAACCACGUUCAAUAGUUUCUUUGGCUCUAUCCAUUGCUUCAUAAAUAUAGCCCAUUGGUGGUUUUUUCUCCCCAUCCACCAAACGAAGCACUUUUGUCAAAGGGCCACAAACUGUAAGUGCUCGAACAACAUCAUCCCAAAAGUGGGCAGAAAUAAUAAGAUUGGCAACAUCUUUACCGAAAGUUUCCUUUGCAAAUUUACUUGAAGUCCAUUCGGUUGAGAGGACUAAAGUUCUCAAGUUUUUUCUUUGUAUGUACAUAGCUCUCAAAGUUAAGAACGCCGUUGCAAAUCUUGUCUUGGCCAGUUUCACCAAAUUUCUUUCCUUGGUGAAUUUUCUCAUCAAGUUUAACAACAAUGGCCUUUGACUAAUGUAAGAAUGGAUUCUGAUGGCUUUCUUAAAAACUGUUAAGGUAAGAUUAUAGUAAUUAGUAGCUAAUAAGUAUUAAAUAUUGACUAUAAAGAAAGUUAGAGGAUAUGAGAGUGAUAUUACCGGAAGCAUAUGGCUUAACCUUGAAUAUGUCACCAAACAUCAAGUUGAUGCAAUGAGCGGCACAUGGAGUCCAAUAAAUGUGUGGGUAUGCACCCAUCAUCAUGCUUCCCGCUUUAACAUUCUCACUAGCAUUAUCAGUGACAAUUUGUACACCAUUUUCCG